GCUUAACACAUGCAAGUCGAGGGGCAGCAUGGUCUUAGCUUGCUAAGACUGAUGGCGACCGGCGCACGGGUGAGUAACACGUAUCCAACCUGCCGUCUACUCUUGGACAGCCUUCUGAAAGGAAGAUUAAUACAAGAUGGCAUCAUGAGUCCGCAUGUUCACAUGAUUAAAGGUAUUCCGGUAGACGAUGGGGAUGCGUUCCAUUAGAUAGUAGGCGGGGUAACGGCCCACCUAGUCUUCGAUGGAUAGGGGUUCUGAGAGGAAGGUCCCCCACAUUGGAACUGAGACACGGUCCAAACUCCUACGGGAGGCAGCAGUGAGGAAUAUUGGUCAAUGGGCGAGAGCCUGAACCAGCCAAGUAGCGUGAAGGAUGACUGCCCUAUGGGUUGUAAACUUCUUUUAUAAAGGAAUAAAGUCGGGUAUGGAUACCCGUUUGCAUGUGCUUUAUGAAUAAGGAUCGGCUAACUCCGUGCCAGCAGCCGCGGUAAUACGGAGGAUCCGAGCGUUAUCCGGAUUUAUUGGGUUUAAAGGGAGCGUAGAUGGAUGUUUAAGUCAGUUGUGAAAGUUUGCGGCUCAACCGUAAAAUUGCAGUUGAUACUGGAUAUCUUGAGUGCAGUUGAGGCAGGCGGAAUUCGUGGUGUAGCGGUGAAAUGCUUAGAUAUCACGAAGAACUCCGAUUGCGAAGGCAGCCUGCUAAGCUGCAACUGACAUUGAGGCUCGAAAGUGUGGGUAUCAAACAGGAUUAGAUACCCUGGUAGUCCACACGGUAAACGAUGAAUACUCGCUGUUUGCGAUAUACUGCAAGCGGCCAAGCGAAAGCGUUAAGUAUUCCACCUGGGGAGUACGCCGGCAACGGUGAAACUCAAAGGAAUUGACGGGGGCCCGCACAAGCGGAGGAACAUGUGGUUUAAUUCGAUGAUACGCGAGGAACCUUACCCGGGCUUAAAUUGCAGAUGAAUUACGGUGAAAGCCGUAAGCCGCAAGGCAUCUGUGAAGGUGCUGCAUGGUUGUCGUCAGCUCGUGCCGUGAGGUGUCGGCUUAAGUGCCAUAACGAGCGCAACCCUUGUUGUCAGUUACUAACAGGUUCCGCUGAGGACUCUGACAAGACUGCCAUCGUAAGAUGUGAGGAAGGUGGGGAUGACGUCAAAUCAGCACGGCCCUUACGUCCGGGGCUACACACGUGUUACAAUGGGGGGUACAGAGGGCCGCUACCACGCGAGUGGAUGCCAAUCCCCAAAACCUCUCUCAGUUCGGACUGGAGUCUGCAACCCGACUCCACGAAGCUGGAUUCGCUAGUAAUCGCGCAUCAGCCACGGCGCGGUGAAUACGUUCCCGGGCCUUGUACACACCGCCCGUCAAGCCAUGGGAGCCGGGGGUACCUGAAGUGCGUAACCGCGAGGAGCGCCCUAGGGUAAAACUGGUGACUGGGGCUAAGU
This 1436-nucleotide ribosomal RNA is filed under the name uncultured organism. Its description in RNAcentral is "16S ribosomal RNA". It matches the Rfam family "Bacterial small subunit ribosomal RNA". The record is from RNAcentral.